AACGCUGGCGGCGUGCCUAAUCCAUGCAAGUCGAGCGAACGGACGAGAAGCUUGCUUCUCUGAUGUUAGCGGCGGACGGGUGAGUAACACGUGGAUAACCUACCUAUAAGACUGGGAUAACUUCGGGAAACCGUAGCUAAUACCGGAUAAUAUUUUGAACCGCAUGGUUCAAAAGUGAAAGACGGUCUUGCUGUCACUUAUAGAUGGAUCCGCGCUGCAUUAGCUAGUUGGUAAGGUAACGGCUUACCAAGGCAACGAUGCAUAGCCGACCUGAGAGGGUGAUCGGCCACACUGGAACUGAGACACGGUCCAGACUCCUACGGGAGGCAGCAGUAGGGAAUCUUCCGCAAUGGGCGAAAGCCUGACGGAGCAACGCCGCGUGAGUGAUGAAGGUCUUCGGAUCGUAAAACUCUGUUAUUAGGGAAGAACAUAUGUGUAAGUAACUGUGCACAUCUUGACGGUACCUAAUCAGAAAGCCACGGCUAACUACGUG
This 493-nucleotide ribosomal RNA is filed under the name uncultured bacterium. Its description in RNAcentral is "partial 16S ribosomal RNA". It matches the Rfam family "Bacterial small subunit ribosomal RNA", at positions 32 to 507 of the family's 1533-position model. The record is from RNAcentral.